This 73-nucleotide transfer RNA is filed under the name Candidatus Methanolliviera sp. GoM_asphalt. Its description in RNAcentral is "tRNA-Arg". It matches the Rfam family "tRNA". Rfam says of the family: Transfer RNA (tRNA) molecules are approximately 80 nucleotides in length. Their secondary structure includes four short double-helical elements and three loops (D, anti-codon, and T loops). Further hydrogen bonds mediate the characteristic L-shaped molecular structure. tRNAs have two regions of fundamental functional importance: the anti-codon, which is responsible for specific mRNA codon recognition, and the 3' end, to which the tRNAs corresponding amino acid is attached (by aminoacyl-tRNA synthetases). tRNAs cope with the degeneracy of the genetic code in two manners: having more than one tRNA (with a specific anti-codon) for a particular amino acid; and 'wobble' base-pairing, i.e. permitting non-standard base-pairing at the 3rd anti-codon position. Lineage: Archaea; Methanobacteriati; Methanobacteriota; Candidatus Methanoliparia; Candidatus Methanoliparales; Candidatus Methanollivieraceae. The record is from RNAcentral.
GCCCCGAUGGGGUAAUGGAUAUCCUUUUGGCUUGCGGAGCCAAAGACCCGGGUUCAACUCCCGGUCGGGGCAC